This 76-nucleotide transfer RNA is filed under the name Lactiplantibacillus pentosus. RNAcentral describes it as "tRNA-Gln". It matches the Rfam family "tRNA". Rfam says of the family: Transfer RNA (tRNA) molecules are approximately 80 nucleotides in length. The record is from RNAcentral. Lineage: Bacteria; Bacillati; Bacillota; Bacilli; Lactobacillales; Lactobacillaceae.
GCGAGCGUAGUUCAACGGUAGAAUAGUACUCCUUUGAAGAUACUUUCAGAUGCAGAUUCGACUCCUGCCGCUCGCA